This 253-nucleotide ribosomal RNA is filed under the name uncultured bacterium. RNAcentral describes it as "partial 16S ribosomal RNA". It matches the Rfam family "Bacterial small subunit ribosomal RNA", at positions 524 to 776 of the family's 1533-position model. The record is from RNAcentral.
UACGGGGGGGGCAAGCGUUGUUCGGAAUUACUGGGCGUAAAGGGCUUGUAGGUGGCCAACUAAGUCAGACGUGAAAUCCCUCGGCUUAACCGGGGAACUGCGUCUGAUUCUGGAUGGCUGGAGUGUGGGAGAGGGAUGCGGAAUUCCAGGUGUAGCGGUGAAAUGCGUAGAUAUCUGGAGGAACACCGGUGGCGAAGGCGGCAUCCUGGACCAUUACUGACACUGAAAAGCGAAAGCCAGGGGAGCAAACGGG